This 504-nucleotide ribosomal RNA is filed under the name uncultured bacterium. RNAcentral's name for it is "partial 16S ribosomal RNA". It matches the Rfam family "Bacterial small subunit ribosomal RNA", at positions 30 to 523 of the family's 1533-position model. The record is from RNAcentral.
AUUGAACGCUGGCGGCAUGCCUUACACAUGCAAGUCGAACGGCAGCAUGGAGAGCUUGCUCUCUGAUGGCGAGUGGCGAACGGGUGAGUAAUGCAUCGGAACGUACCGUGUAAUGGGGGAUAACGUAGCGAAAGUUACGCUAAUACCGCAUACGACCUGAGGGUGAAAGCAGGGGAUCGCAAGACCUUGCGUUAUACGAGCGGCCGAUGUCAGAUUAGCUAGUUGGUGAGGUAAAGGCUCACCAAGGCGACGAUCUGUAGCGGGUCUGAGAGGAUGAGCGGCCACACUGGGACUGAGACACGGCCCAGACUCCUACGGGAGGCAGCAGUGGGGAAUUUUGGACAAUGGGGGCAACCCUGAUCCAGCCAUGCCGCGUGAGUGAAGAAGGCCUUCGGGUUGUAAAGCUCUUUCGGCCGGGAAGAAAUCGCACAGGCUAAUACUCUGUGUGGAUGACGGUACCGGCAUAAGAAGCACCGGCUAACUACGUGCCAGCCGCCGCGGUAA